RNAcentral lists this ribosomal RNA (460 nucleotides) under uncultured Bacteroidota bacterium. RNAcentral describes it as "bacterial SSU rRNA". It matches the Rfam family "Bacterial small subunit ribosomal RNA", at positions 446 to 911 of the family's 1533-position model. Lineage: Bacteria; Pseudomonadati; Bacteroidota. The record is from RNAcentral.
UGAGAAUUCCUGUGGGGGCUUGACGGUACUAUAUGAAUAAGGAUCGGCUAACUCCGUGCCGGCGGCCGCGGUAAUACGGAGGAUCCGAGCGUUAUCCGGAAUCAUUGGGUUUAAAGGGUCCGCAGGCGGACUGAUAAGUCAGAGGUGAAAUCCUACUGCUCAACUGUAGAACUGCCUUUGAUACUGGGAGACUUGAGUUAUUGUGGAGUGGUUAAAAUGUGUGGAGUUGCGGUGAAAUGCAUAUAUAUCACACAGAAUACCGAUUGCUAAGGCAGAUUACUAACAAUAUACUGACGCUGAUGGACGAAAGCGAGAGGAGCGAACAGGAUUAGAUACCCUGGUAGUCCACGCCGUAAACGAUGGAUACUAACUGUUCGACCCUCAGGUUGAGUGUUCUCACCUAAGUGAUAAUUAUCCCACCUGCUGACUACGAUCGCAUUUAGUGAGACUCAAACGAAUU